Molecule: ribosomal RNA, 441 nt
Filed under: uncultured bacterium
Lineage: Bacteria
Description: partial 16S ribosomal RNA
Rfam family: Bacterial small subunit ribosomal RNA
Source: RNAcentral
CCUACGGGAGGCAGCAGUGGGGAAUAUUGCACAAUGGGGGAAACCCUGAUGCAGCGACGCCGCGUGAGUGAAGAAGUAUCUCGGUAUGUUAAGCUCUAUCAGCAGGGAAGAAGAAAGACGGUACCUGACUAAGAAGCCCCGGCUAACUACGUGCCAGCAGCCGCGGUAAUACGUAGGGGGCAAGCGUUAUCCGGAUUUACUGGGUGUAAUGGGAGCGUAGACGGCUGUGCAAGUCUGAAGUGAAAGCCCAGGGCUCAACCCUGGGACUGCUUUGGAAACUGUGGGGCUAGAGUGCUGGAGAAGUAAGUGGAAUGCCUGGUGUAGCGGUGAAAUGCGUAGAUAUUGGGAGGAACACCAGUGGCGAAGGCGGCUUACUGGACAGUAACUGACGUUGAGGCUCGAAAGCGUGGGGAGCGAACAGGAUUAGAUACCCGUGUAGUC